Non-coding RNA from Vicia faba (fava bean), 288 nucleotides. The record is from the annotation of a GenBank genome assembly. Lineage: Eukaryota; Viridiplantae; Streptophyta; Magnoliopsida; Fabales; Fabaceae.
AUGGUAUACCUACACAGAAACCAGCACCUUGCAGCGACACUACUACUUUCUUUGCUGAUUUUGUUGAUAUCUUCUUCAUCGUUUGCUAGGCCCUUGAAUGAUUUCAGCCAGCUCUCAGCCACCUCCAACCUCAUACUUCCCAGCAAUAGAGUGAUACCGGAAAAGAGAGGACACGUGUUAGUAGUAAGCGGUGGAAAAGUAAACAGGCCAUUGAUCCUGAACAUGCUUCCUAAGGGGCCAGUUCCUCCUUCUGGACCAAGCAAAGGAAUCAACAACCUCAAUAACUAG